GAUGAACGCUGGCGGCGUGCCUAAUACAUGCAAGUCGAGCGAACAGACGAGGAGCUUGCUCCUCUGACGUUAGCGGCGGACGGGUGAGUAACACGUGGAUAACCUACCUAUAAGACUGGGAUAACUUCGGGAAACCGGAGCUAAUACCGGAUAAUAUAUUGAACCGCAUGGUUCAAUAGUGAAAGACGGUUUUGCUGUCACUUCUAGAUGGAUCCGCGCCGCAUUAGCUAGUUGGUAAGGUAACGGCUUACCAAGGGAACGAUGCGUAGCCGACCUGAGAGGGUGAUCGCCCACACUAGAACGUAGACAGGGUCCAGGCGCCUACGGGAGGCAGCAGUAGGGAAUCUUCCGCAAUGGGCGAAAGCUUGACGGAGCAACGCCGCGUGAGUGAUGAAGGUCUUCGGAUCGUAAAACUCUGUUAUUAGGGAAGAACAAAUGUGUAAGUAACUAUGCACGUCUUGACGGUACCUAAUCAGAAAGCCACGGCUAACUACGUG
This 497-nucleotide ribosomal RNA is filed under the name uncultured bacterium. Its description in RNAcentral is "partial 16S ribosomal RNA". It matches the Rfam family "Bacterial small subunit ribosomal RNA", at positions 28 to 507 of the family's 1533-position model. The record is from RNAcentral.